AUUGAACGCUGGCGGAAUGCUUUACACAUGCAAGUCGAACGGUAGAGGGGGCAACCCCUUGAGAGUGGCGAACGGGUGAGUAAUAUAUCGGAACGUGCCCAGUCGUGGGGGAUAACGUAGUGAAAAUUACGCUAAUACCGCAUACGAUCUAAGGAUGAAAGCGGGGGAUCGCAAGACCUCGCGCGCUUGGAGCGGCCGAUAUCAGAUUAGGUAGUUGGGGGGGUAAAGGCCCACCAAGCCAACGAUCUGUAGCUGGGCUGAGAGGACGACCAGCCAGACUGGAAGUGCGACACGGUCCAGACUCCUGCGGGAGGCAGCAGUGGAGAAUUUUGGACAAUGGGCGAAAGCCUGAUCCAGCCAUUCCGCGUGCAGGAUGAAGGCCCUCGGGUUGUAAACUGCUUUUGUACAGAACGAAAAGGUUUCUACUAAUACUAGGGGCUCAUGACGGUACUGUAAGAACAAGCACCGGCUAACUACGUGCCAGCAGCAGCGGUAA
RNAcentral lists this ribosomal RNA (496 nucleotides) under uncultured bacterium. RNAcentral describes it as "partial 16S ribosomal RNA". It matches the Rfam family "Bacterial small subunit ribosomal RNA", at positions 30 to 523 of the family's 1533-position model. The record is from RNAcentral.